RNAcentral lists this ribosomal RNA (229 nucleotides) under uncultured bacterium. RNAcentral describes it as "partial 16S ribosomal RNA". It matches the Rfam family "Bacterial small subunit ribosomal RNA", at positions 568 to 796 of the family's 1533-position model. The record is from RNAcentral.
UCCGUAGGCGGGCUAAUAAGUCAGAGGUGAAAUCCCACAGCUUAACUGUGGCACUGCCUUUGAUACUGUUAGUCUUGAGUCAUAAUGAGGCAGAUGGAAUGUGUAGUGUAGCGGUGAAAUGCAUAGAUAUUACACAGAACACCGAUUGCGAAGGCAGUCUACUAAUUAUGUACUGACGCUGAGGGACGAAAGCGUGGGUAGCGAACAGGAUUAGAUACCCUGGUAGUCC